RNAcentral lists this transfer RNA (66 nucleotides) under Troglocarcinus corallicola. RNAcentral's name for it is "tRNA-His". The record is from RNAcentral. Lineage: Eukaryota; Metazoa; Arthropoda; Malacostraca; Decapoda; Cryptochiridae.
ACUUAAAUAGUUUAAAUAAAAUAUUAAUUUGUGGUAUUAAGGAUGUAGUAGUUACUACUUUAGGUA